RNAcentral lists this long non-coding RNA (329 nucleotides) under Fukomys damarensis (Damara mole-rat). RNAcentral's name for it is "lncRNA (ENSFDAG00000029437.1)". The record is from RNAcentral. Lineage: Eukaryota; Metazoa; Chordata; Mammalia; Rodentia; Bathyergidae.
GUGGGAGGGGAAACCAGGGUGGGAUUCCAAGUGGAACCCAGCUCAGCCUGAUUUCCUGGAGCACCCUGGACUUUUAACUCUUCUGCAGGGGUGGCGCUACCUGUGCUUCAAUGACAUUCAGUGUCCACAGGAAAUCUAUGUCAAAUGCAGGUGAAUUUCAUCAGCAGGACACACAGUCGCUGAAGAACUGCCACACAGAGCUAGGAAAACAUUUGAGAGUUACGAUUAGGAGAGAUUGUGCUGAGUGAGGAGCACAACAGGGGAAUAAUGUUUCAGAAAUCAUUCUGAGUCCUCGGAUUAGUUGCUAAAAGUUGAGCACCAUGGAAACC